Molecule: transfer RNA, 72 nt
Filed under: Monoraphidium minutum
Lineage: Eukaryota; Viridiplantae; Chlorophyta; Chlorophyceae; Sphaeropleales; Selenastraceae
Description: tRNA-Arg
Rfam family: tRNA
About the family: Transfer RNA (tRNA) molecules are approximately 80 nucleotides in length.
Source: RNAcentral
GCCUUCGUAGCUCAGCUUGGUUAGAGCGCAGGAUUCUAACCGAGGUCACCGGUUCGAGCCCGGUCGAGGGCA